Hyla sarda is the source of this 5402-nucleotide long non-coding RNA. RefSeq lists it as uncharacterized. NCBI's taxonomy places the organism in Eukaryota, Metazoa, Chordata, Amphibia, Anura, Hylidae. The transcript is spliced from 3 exons. The record is from RefSeq and is a predicted model, not a curated record.
CUGCUGUCCACUAGGAGGCUGACACUAGGCAAAAAAAAGAAGUAUGCUCCUCCCAGCAGGAUAUACCCACCCACAGGCACAGAGCUAAGCAGUUGUGUCACAAAGCAGUAGGAGAAGCCAAACAACAAAGGAGAUAAGUCCGAAGGACACCAGAAAAUAACAACAGGCAAUAAACAAUGUGACAAGGAACUGUAAAUGGGUGGGUGCUGUGUUCCCCAAUGAAGGCUACAAGAAAGAGAUUUUUCUGGUGAGUACAAAAAAAAUCUCCUUUUCUUGGUUGCCUCAACACAGGAGAACACAGGAGACCAUGGGACGUCCCAAAGCAGUCCCUUGGGUGAGAAAAACAACCACCAGAGAAGGAGGGGUCAGACCAGACACUGAGCCCUAUCCCUUCCAGAAAAAAGUUGGUGAGGCCCAUAUAAAACCGUAAUUCAACCCCCUAGAAGCCCUUACAAAACAUGAAGGGUAGCUAGGACAUAAAAAAAGAGACUGGGGUCCAAGAGCUGACCAAAAACAGCUAGAAACUGAUGUCCCGGAGGCCUGCCGGACCACACCCGUCCCUGAUGGAGGGAGGAAAACACCCCUGAAGACAAGACAGAAGAUGCAGGAAAAAAUUGGAAAGCGAACAUGCUGGAGAUACUCAAGGGAAAGUCCUAUCAGAAAACCAGUCGCAACUGAAGGACAGAGGCUGAGGAGGAAGAACGACAAGCAAAAGGCAGCUGAGCACAGCCAGCAAGAAGACAAGACUCAGAAGGUGGAAACCAGAGUUGCCAGAAGGGGACAAAGACAGAAAAACCCAUGUUCGGGUCUGAGCGCAUAAGGAAAAUAGAUGAGAAGAAGGCUAGGUCAAGGAGCACCCGUUGAUCACCCGAACAGAGAGGUCAGACGAACACCCACAGCCUCAAGGCCACUUGCAAAAAAACAGAUGAAAGAAAGAAUCCAAAAAGGGCAAGCGAGCAGGUGAACUACAUCCGCCAAAGUGCCCAAAAUGACCACACUGGGCAACCCGGAGAACUGGCCAGUCCACUACCCAGAGGCCCUAUGCCUCGGGCCCCUUUCACUCCAGAGGGAGACGGAGAAAUGCAAGCAGGUCGGCAGGGAGGAACAGAACCAUCCGGAACACUGGAGCAGCCAUUAAGAGAAACAGAGGAUCUCAGAUCCAGUAAGAAAUAGAGGGACCCAGGAGUCCCAAACCAGGUGGACAACCUCAAGCCAGAACAAAACACUCCGGUUGACAAACACCUAGACUUGGGCAAGGCGUGGCACAUCGAACAGAGACCGCCUUCCAUAGAGAAGGGUGGUGAUGAGAUGGGCCGGAACCCUGCCAAGGCCAGAGACAAGAGCCACUGGAGUGACGGAAGCUUCAGUAAAACCCCAACUUAACCUCCAGCAAAACUGCACAACACAGCAAAAAUGGCCAACGUGAGCAAGGGAAAGCGGCAAAAAAGCUGAACAAGGGUACUCCGGAAAUGGAGCUAGAAGUACCUAGUGCUGACUUUAAGUCAUGUGCACACAAUGGGACAAUGCCCAAUGGCAUGUGGCACAAUACUCGGAGCAAACACCAAGCAUUCCAACAAUCAGUCACGCACAUAAGGUGACGGAAGCAGGCUUAGGAAUAGGCCCCCGUCCCCCCCAAAUCCAUCUAAUAUAAGUUCCCCGGAUAUGGGAAGCAUCAGAUGAGAAACUAAGAACAGAUACUACACUUGACCCUACUCAAGAAGCUUGAGAAGCGAGCUUAGGAGAGAACUCUGCCCUACAGAUAGGGGCACGGAGAACGCCACAGAAUACAGAAAGGCUGUAUUACCUAAUUUUGGCCACCAGAGGGGGCCAAGCACAAGAAUGGAAACAAAAGAGCUGUGUAUGAAACAGCCACCAGAGGGUGCAGAGAGCCCGGGAAAAUUGAAGUGAUUUUUUUUUUUUUUUUUUUUACUUGCAGAGCAGCUCGCUGGUGCUGACCCUGGGGCGACAAAGGGAAUAAAAUGUGGCCAGGUCACUGGGCCUGGCCGCAACAUGUGCAGCAAGGGGGAACAUUUUGUGGGAGCCCAUUAAUCCUGUAACCGGUGGAGGGGAUGCGGUGGUUCAGCCCAAAAAAUGCUAACUAGACAUCCCUAGCUAGAAAAUAAUUAAACAUAAAAGACCAGGUCUGGAGAGAGCUCCAGACCUGUGUCUUCCUCUACUGACACGAAGCUAAAACUGAUUAGCUCUGUACCUGUGGGUGGGUAUAUCCUGCUGGGAGGAGCCAACUUUUUUUGCCUAGUGUCAGCCUCCUUGUGGACAGCAGCGUAAUACCCAUGGUCUCCUGUGUUCCUGGCGACUGAGCCACUCUGCACUGGAACCCAGGAAAGAUACCUGGAGGCAUAGGCGGGCUGUGGAACAGACUGUGUCACCCUAUCAGGCCCUAUGCCAGAACAGAUGUGCUCAACCGCAGCAGACCUGUGGAAACAAGAUCACAGAAAGGCCCGAGGUACACCCCACCGAAACGGAGGAGAGGUGAGCUCUAUACGUGCAGAGUGUCCAUAGCAUAUGUGGGGACACAGACAUGGUUACCGCACGAUGGUAGUGGGGUACCAAGACAGCAGCCAAGAAAGUGGUGUACUGGAAUUCGGCCGAUCUGAUGGGCGACCUGGUGGUGUAGAAGACUAUGCAGACAAAUGUCUGGUUGACAGGCAUGAGUCCCUAGUACCUGCAGGGACCCUGUCCCACACCAGCAGGGAAACUCCACCCCUGCACGCGGCAGUCCUGUGAUAGGAGACCAACAGGAGCAGAAACCGUGCAGACCACAGUCUGGCUUAAUGAGGACACCUCCAGGCGCUGUCCGGUGGCGAUAAGGGGACAACAGCACCAAUAGGAGAGCACUGUGCCCCUUUGUUGCAUGCGGGAGGGUGGGGAGGCCUAGGAGCCAUGGAUAGUAUCCCCUCCGUCCCAAAGUUCGGGGAAGGUGGAGGAGCUAUGGAUUGUAUCCCCGUAGGCCUAAGUAGGGUCCAUAGGACACGCCGGGUCACUUCUUCGGACAUCUCACACUAUUAGUGGGAUACCGGAAUUCCAGCUGCACAUACAUCAUCGUGUGAGGAGUGACAGGCGGCGGAGUAGCCACGCAGACCACUGUCUGGCUUACUGGCAUAGGGUCCAUAGUAAACACCGAGUCAUUCCUUCAGACACCUCGCACUAGCAGUGGGGUACCGAAAUUCCAGCCGCAGAUACAGCAGCACUGAGAUGAAUGACAGGUGGUAGCGGAAACCAUGCUGACCAUUGUAACCCCUCAAUGUAUCAAGUCUAAUCCAUGUCCCCGCAGGGUCACUUCCAUGGAAUACUCACACUAGAGGUGGGGAUCUGGAACUCCAGGUGCAGAUGCAGCAGACGUGAGUGCAAAAGAAAACCAUGCAGACGACAGUCUGGCUUACUGGUAUAGGGACCAUUGCACAUGCAGGGUAAUUCCUCCGGAAACCCCCUAGUUGUGAGGAACGGGAGAAAAAAAGGGAAAAAAAGAAAAAAUAGGCACGGCUACAUAAGAUGGGUGACUGGUGGUGGAGGAAACCACUGCAGAUGGGUUUCCUAAUGCCCUCCCAAAGAUGAAAGGCCAUGUGUUGGACUUUGGCACAGGGGCAGGGAAGUAAACCCAGGCAUGGAGGGGGACACCUUGUAGGGGCCCCUUAGUUUUCACUAGAAUUGCAAUGGCACCAAUUGAGACACCCCUAGGGAGGGAUUGGAAUCAUCCAUGGGUUAGGCAAACAUGAUAUGGCAACAGUCAGCAGGGGAAACAGACAUAACGUGUAUCCCCAGGGUUAUUUAAGGGAAUAUGCAUCGUCGGUAAUGACCCGCCAAGUCCCGUCUGAAGGGCUGAUAUGGAGUGACUGCAGGAAUGCAGGCCAGAAAGUUGCCACCAGAGGGAGCUCAUUGGUAAGCAUAAAACCAAGAGCUGAGAUUCAGUAAAGGGCCACAAGGGGGCAUCUGGAACAACUGAUUUAAUUUAUAUACUGUAUAUAUAUUUUUUAUGAGAGGGACAAACAGUGACAAUGACAGCGUCAGCUGGAGGAACCCCUGACCCCUCACUGCAGGAGAGGAGAAGGGGGGGGGAGCAAUGCCGACUUCCCCAUGCCAUAAUGAAGGCCGGCCGGGGAGGGAAGAGACCUAUAACCCCCAGUUACUGUGCUGUAGAGGCGGGGGCGGAAUACGGAGUUACGCUCCGAGUCCCCAGCACACAUGGCCGCCGACAUCUCUAAAACCGACGGCUUCCCCCAUGACUGACACCCCCACUGUAACUCCCGCCCACUAGACAGAUGCUGCAGCGAUGGGUUUUUGCUGGAAGAAGUCAUGGUGGUGUGAGCCAGAAGGAAAGAGGACGACGCUGAAUUACACACUCAGUGAAUACAGGCCUGCUGUAAGCUGAAAGAGACAGAAGAAAAUGAAAAUCCCCCGGUGUUGGACUCGUAGUGACUGGCAGCACAAGCAGCGAGACCUAUAUAUUAGAUAUAACACCCGUUUGUCUAAGAUGGUGCACAUAGCAUAUGCAUCAAGAAGGAGUUGUUAAAGGAAAUCAAACAUUAUAUGUGUGAAUGCAAUUAUGAUAUAAGUGAUUACAAUAUCUCUAGCCUGAAUAUAAGAUGAUAUACAGUUUUGCAUGGAGGCAUACAGGUGCCCAAUGGCAUCCUGAAGAACAUUUGCUACUAGAUGUUGCAGCUGGGCCUGUCGGUGGCUGCAGCUGGCUCACCAUAUCUGCUUGAUUGCCCAUAAAUCUGGCAACCAGGCAGGCCAAGAAAGUGUUCCAUUCUAGCAAAGACAUUCCUGGAAAACCAUUGCUGUGUGUGGGCGAGCAUUAUCCCGCUUAAAAAUGUCAGCUGGAACCCCUGCCAUGAGAGGCUGCACAUAUUGCUGAGCUGUUAGUGUGCCUUGUGUCUCUAGUAGGAGUGAACGACUGUCAUAUGCAAUGUUUCCCCUGAUCGACACACCAGUAUUUGGGCCACAGUGUCACUCCACAACACCAGGCCUCCAUAUUCAAACCUGUCUUUAAAUUCUUUCAGUUUAGGGAGUAAGAGCUGUGAACCUGGGUCAACAAUGUCAUCUGGGACUGUUGCUUGUUGCACAUUCUACUACUCUGCCACAUGUUUUAGGAAAAUAUGGACUUAUGGUGGACAUGGACCUAGGGGUAGGUGUUGUUUUGAGGAAGGGAGGGGUGGGGGGUAUUUUUGUGUUUCCUUUAUCUUGUAUAAAACUGUUUACAACUUAAUAAAAAGAUCUGAUUUAAAAAACAGAAUGGCAUCUGAGAAGGUAUAUUUAGUGACUGGGACAUGGUUUAAUGGGAAUAAUGACUGGGACAUAACAUUACCAGCAUACUCUUUAUAUAGGAAAGACAGAGGAGGCAGGGGGAAGGGCUGACCCUGUAUGUAUAAGAUAGCUUGAAAUCC